CCUUCGGGCGCUGACGAGUGGCCGGACGGGUGAGUAACGCGUAGGAAUCUGCCUCAUAGUGGGGGACAACGUGGGGAAACUCACGCUAAUACCGCAUACGCCCUACGGGGGAAAGGAGGGGAUCUUCGGACCUUUCGCUAUGAGAUGAGCCUGCGUUAGAUUAGCUAGUUGGUAGGGUAAAGGCCUACCAAGGCGACGAUCUAUAGCUGGUCUGAGAGGACGAUCAGCCACACUGGGACUGAGACACGGCCCAGACUCCUACGGGAGGCAGCAGUGGGGAAUAUUGGACAAUGGGCGAAAGCCUGAUCCAGCAAUACCGCGUGUGUGAAGAAGGCCUUAGGGUUGUAAAGCACUUUCAAUUGGGAGGAAAACCUAUCGACCAAUACCCGAUAGCUUGACAUUACCUUUAGAAGAAGCACCGGCUAACUCCGUGCCAGCAGCCGCGGUAAUACGGAGGGUGCGAGCGUUAAUCGGAAUUACUGGGCGUAAAGCGUGCGUAGGCGGUUCGUUAAGUCAGAUGUGAAAGCCCUGGGCUCAACCUGGGAACUGCAUUUGAAACUGGCGGACUAGAGUUUAGUAGAGGGGAGUGGAAUUUCAGGUGUAGCGGUGAAAUGCGUAGAUAUCUGAAGGAACACCAGUGGCGAAGGCGACUCCCUGGACUAGAACUGACGCUGAGGUACGAAAGCGUGGGUAGCAAACAGGAUUAGAUACCCUGGUAGUCCACGCCGUAAACGAUGUCGACUAGCCGUUGGCCCUAUUUACAGGGUUAGUGGCGCAGCUAACGCAUUAAGUCGACCGCCUGGGGAGUACGGCCGCAAGGUUAAAACUCAAAUGAAUUGACGGGGGCCCGCACAAGCGGUGGAGCAUGUGGUUUAAUUCGAUGCAACGCGAAGAACCUUACCUACCCUUGACAUCCAGAGAAUC
This 924-nucleotide ribosomal RNA is filed under the name uncultured bacterium. Its description in RNAcentral is "bacterial SSU rRNA". It matches the Rfam family "Bacterial small subunit ribosomal RNA", at positions 77 to 997 of the family's 1533-position model. The record is from RNAcentral.